UACGAAGGGGGCUAGCGUUGUUCGGAAUUACUGGGCGUAAAGGGCGCGUAGGCGGUUUGAAUCGUCGGAUGUGAAAGGCCUGGGCUCAACCUGGGAACGGCAUCCGAUACGGUCGGACUUGAGUGUGGGAGAGGAUGGUGGAAUUCCCAGUGUAGAGGUGAAAUUCGUAGAUAUUGGGAAGAACACCGGUGGCGAAGGCGGCCAUCUGGACCACAACUGACGCUGAGGCGCGAAAGCGUGGGGAGCAAACAGGAUUAGAAACCCCCGUAGUCC
This 273-nucleotide ribosomal RNA is filed under the name uncultured bacterium. Its description in RNAcentral is "partial 16S ribosomal RNA". It matches the Rfam family "Bacterial small subunit ribosomal RNA", at positions 524 to 796 of the family's 1533-position model. The record is from RNAcentral.